GGACGGGUGAGUAACACGUGAGUAACCUGCCCUUGACUUUGGGAUAACUCCGGGAAACCGGGGCUAAUACCGGAUAACAUUUUGAACUGCAUGGUUCGAAAUUGAAAGGCGGCUUCGGCUGUCACUUAUGGAUGGACCCGCGUCGCAUUAGCUAGUUGGUAAGGUAACGGCUUACCAAGGCAACGAUACGUAGCCGACCUGAGAGGGUGAUCGGCCACACUGGAACUGAGACACGGUCCAGACUCCUACGGGAGGCAGCA
Molecule: ribosomal RNA, 260 nt
Filed under: uncultured bacterium
Lineage: Bacteria
Description: partial 16S ribosomal RNA
Rfam family: Bacterial small subunit ribosomal RNA
Source: RNAcentral